Molecule: long non-coding RNA, 197 nt
Organism: Asparagus officinalis (garden asparagus)
Lineage: Eukaryota; Viridiplantae; Streptophyta; Magnoliopsida; Asparagales; Asparagaceae
Exons: 3
Source: RefSeq, a predicted model, not a curated record
GACUCGAACAGUGGGCGCCUGAGCUCUCUCGUCUCCUCACCCGUCAGCAGCCGCAGGAGGUCUAAGUGAGUCUUACGUUUUGUUGGAUUGCAUUGCAGGAGAUCCAAGCGAUGUCUAAAAAUAUUAACAGGAGGUUAUUCGAAGCUAACCCCAGUCAAGACCAAUCCACUGAGGAAGAGCCUCAGAGUUCAGGAGAG